Non-coding RNA from Pelobates cultripes (western spadefoot toad), 365 nucleotides. The record is from the annotation of a GenBank genome assembly. NCBI's taxonomy places the organism in Eukaryota, Metazoa, Chordata, Amphibia, Anura, Pelobatidae.
GCAUGGUACAGAGUAGAAAGGCUAUCCAGCAGGAGGGUUGGGUAGAGGAAGAGAUAAAUCAUAAAGGGUUAAGAACUGUAUGUAUAUCAUAAUAAUUGUGUUACUGGGAAGUUAUCCCAGCCAGUGCCCUGUCGGGGGUUCCAGGAGGUGACCACUUCCAUCAUCCUGUCAGUAAUGACCGAAAUGUAGCUGACCAUGGUCACCAUCCCACCCCAAUCUUAAAAACGCUGUGGGGUUUUUGUAUUUUGUGUUAGCCAUUACCCUGGUAGAGGGUGGGGGUUUAAAUGAAAUGUUGUGUUUUUGCUUUGUAAUGUAAUUGUCCUUCUGUCUUGUUACUGUACAGCGUUGACAUGGUUAAAUUCGUG